Molecule: long non-coding RNA, 1385 nt
Filed under: Cyanistes caeruleus (blue tit)
Lineage: Eukaryota; Metazoa; Chordata; Aves; Passeriformes; Paridae
Description: lncRNA (ENSCCEG00000003982.1)
Source: RNAcentral
CUCAGAGCUCUGCGAGGAUGAGUGUCCUCUACAGCUCACAGCCCACAGGCUUCAUUAUUGCAUCGCCCAUAAUUCAAUUCACCCUUCCUAAAAGGUCUCUUGCUGCCAACCCAACCCCCACCUCUGAAAACACGUCCCACUAAUAAUUCCCGAUUAAUGCCGUCAAUUACCAACUCUCUCCCAGCCCCUCUCCAGCCCCUGAUUGGGUUGGAAUGGAAGGGAAGCAGCAUCUAACCAGGGAGGAAUAGAAGUAGGGUAAAAUAGCAAUAAAAAGUAAUUACAUAAAAAUGCUAAACAUAUUACAUCUGUUAGUUUGCUGAGCCCAGUGGGCUUGACAAUUCCAGAUUUUUGCCUUUGUCCGUGCUCAGACAGACAAGAAUAAGAGAAACCGGGAAAGGAUCUUUCAAUAAGAUUAUUAAAUCAGUGCAUGAAAAAUAAGUCGUCAUUACAUUGCAAAAGGGAGAGAGAAACUCACUGAAAUGUCUUUCUGCAGCUUUGCCUUUGUGAUCUGCAAGGUGCUGUGCUCCUGCUUACACUCUGUUGCCCUGGCAACAUACUCCUGUAAAAUAAAGAUUAUUAAAGCGCAUAUGAUUAUUUGGCCGCACAGUGAAUGAGGCAGCCGCUUCUGAAAUUCCUUAUCAGAGAAAUUCAAUUUUAGGCCAAAUUGUGUUUUCACUGCCUCUCAGCUUCUCCCUCCCCCCCUGCAAUACCAAUAAAACCAUCAUCUCCCCAGCUGUACAUGAUAUUUUGUCACUAACUCUUUCACGCCUUUCCUUUCCCAUUCCAGGUUUUAUUUUUACUCUGUCAAAGGAGAAUGCUCUCCCCAAUUUGUAGGCUUUUAUACCUUACAGUUUUUUUCUGGCAGCUUCAGCCUUUUCUCCCCUGCAGCAGCCAGCAGCCUCCUCGCCCACUGUGGCAGCAGGAGGGGACUUUCCCCUCCAGCCCAGACCAGGGGCCAGGGCCAGAACCCAGCUUUGGAAGGUGAGGGAUGAGCACAGAGGGCUCACAACACACAGCUACCCUUCACACUUUGCGGAGCCUCAUCUGCUGUAGGUCUUCUAUGGCCUCUCCUCGCAGUUCAUCUCUGGGGAGCUGCUGCCCAGCCCACGGAGACCCCGGCCAAGUGUUUAAGAUGGAACAGAGAGGAGGCACAAUUACCCCAGAUUCAGAAGAUCUUAGUUCAAACCCUGACCUACUGAAGCUUCCCAUACCUCGGCUUCUCCUCCCUAUCUUAAAACCAGGCAGAAUUAGAAAUCUGGUAAUCUUCCUGAAGAGCCUCACAUACUGAGCACUACUAAAUAUUUGGCAAGAUAAAUGACAGAGCUGCUCUAAAGGAAGCAUGUAAUCUAGAAAUAAAAGAGAUAUAUCUGUUGUCUCUUUUGUCA